UAGAGAAGUGAAGAUUUGUAACCCAUUUUGCUUUCUGUAAAACAGAAUGAUGAUUAUUUUACAUGCACUACCAUCUGAUCUCUG
This is a small nucleolar RNA of Papaver somniferum (opium poppy), 84 nucleotides long. Lineage: Eukaryota; Viridiplantae; Streptophyta; Magnoliopsida; Ranunculales; Papaveraceae. The record is from RefSeq and is a predicted model, not a curated record.